RNAcentral lists this ribosomal RNA (316 nucleotides) under uncultured bacterium. RNAcentral's name for it is "bacterial SSU rRNA". It matches the Rfam family "Bacterial small subunit ribosomal RNA", at positions 27 to 334 of the family's 1533-position model. The record is from RNAcentral.
GGGCGAACGCUGGCGGCGUGCCUAAUACAUGCAAGUCGAGCGGACCGAUGGGAGCUUGCUCCUUUAGGUUAGCGGCGGACGGGUGAGUAACACGUGGGCAACCUGCCCUGCAGACUGGGAUAACACCUGGAAACAGAUGCUAAUACCGGAUAACAACACUAGACGCAUGUCUAGAGUUUGAAAGAUGGUUCUGCUAUCACUCUUGGAUGGACCUGCGGUGCAUUAGCUAGUUGGUAAGGUAACGGCUUACCAAGGCAAUGAUGCAUAGCCGAGUUGAGAGACUGAUCAGCCACAUUGGGGCUGAGACACGGCCCAA